RNAcentral lists this ribosomal RNA (407 nucleotides) under Limnonectes fujianensis (Fujian large-headed frog). RNAcentral describes it as "partial 12S ribosomal RNA". It matches the Rfam family "Bacterial small subunit ribosomal RNA", at positions 875 to 1414 of the family's 1533-position model. Lineage: Eukaryota; Metazoa; Chordata; Amphibia; Anura; Dicroglossidae. The record is from RNAcentral.
CGCCCCACCGUAAAAUUUAUACUUACAUCAACAAACGCCCGGGUAUUACGAGCAUCAGCUUAAAACCCAAAGGACUUGACGGUGUCCCACCCAACUAGAGGAGCCUGUUCUAUAAUCGAUAACCCCCGAUAUACCCUACCCCCCCUCGCCAAUCAGCCUGUAUACCUCCGUCGCAAACUUACCAUAUGAAUGCCAAUAGUAAGUUAAAUAGUUCAUAACAAACACGUCAGGUCAAAGUGCAGCUCAUGAUGGGGAAAGCAAUGGGCUACAAUUUCUAAAAUAGAACAUACGAAAUGCUGCAUGAAACACAGCCACGAAGGCGGAUUUAGUAGUAAAAAGCGAUCAUAGAGCCCUUUUUAAUAAGGCCCUGGGACGUGUACACACCGCCCGUCACCCUCUGCAGUAAA